Molecule: transfer RNA, 67 nt
Filed under: Trachypenaeus curvirostris
Lineage: Eukaryota; Metazoa; Arthropoda; Malacostraca; Decapoda; Penaeidae
Description: tRNA-Thr
Rfam family: tRNA
About the family: Transfer RNA (tRNA) molecules are approximately 80 nucleotides in length. Their secondary structure includes four short double-helical elements and three loops (D, anti-codon, and T loops). Further hydrogen bonds mediate the characteristic L-shaped molecular structure. tRNAs have two regions of fundamental functional importance: the anti-codon, which is responsible for specific mRNA codon recognition, and the 3' end, to which the tRNAs corresponding amino acid is attached (by aminoacyl-tRNA synthetases). tRNAs cope with the degeneracy of the genetic code in two manners: having more than one tRNA (with a specific anti-codon) for a particular amino acid; and 'wobble' base-pairing, i.e. permitting non-standard base-pairing at the 3rd anti-codon position.
Source: RNAcentral
GUUUUAAUAGUUUAAAUAAAACACCAGUCUUGUAAAUUGGUAUUGAAGAAAUAGUCUUCUUAAAACA